Molecule: long non-coding RNA, 2907 nt
Filed under: Fukomys damarensis (Damara mole-rat)
Lineage: Eukaryota; Metazoa; Chordata; Mammalia; Rodentia; Bathyergidae
Description: lncRNA (ENSFDAG00000032298.1)
Source: RNAcentral
UGAGCACCCCCUCCUCACACUGCUGUUGCUCCCCAUUACUGUGUCUCAGCAGCUCCACCCCCUAGGAAGUGGCUCCCUGAGACCUUCCCCAACUCUCCUCCAAAGAAGGAGCCAUUUGUCAUCUCCAUGUCCUUGUCCCAGUGGGAAGAGACCAGGACACGGCCAGGUCUGCUAGAUCGUGUUGUGUUUGGGUCCAGCUUGAAGAAAGCUGAAAGCCAGGCCUGCGAGGGGAAGGUCAUCCAUCUGACUGAGCCUGACAGCCCGGAUCUCACUCCCAGCAGGAGAGCAGCCGGGCCACCUCUCAAGUCAACAAGAGGCUUGGGGUGGCCUCAGGCUUCCUGUGCCCACUUGAGAUGGGUGGAGCGGGAUAGAAAACAAACUAAGGAGGUUUGGAGCCAAACUGCCUGCCUUAGAGUCCUAGCCCUCUCUUCCUGGCUACGUGAUCCUGAGAAGGCGGCAUUACCUUUCUGUGCUCAGUUUCCUCAUCUGUGAAAUGGGGAAAUGAUAGAACCCACCGUCGGGAAUGUUCUAAGUGCUAAGACGCAGGCAGUGGCUCGAACAGUACCCUGCGCAGAGUACUACUACUGUUAUUAUAGUCAUUGUUGUUGAUCUCUAAAGUGAGGCAAUCACAAGAUGGGAAUAGCUUUCCAAGGUCAGUGCUCACAAACUGGUUGGAUUCAGAAGUCAGUUCAUUGGGAGCACCGAGGGAAGGAUCCAUCUUUUCUACAGUGACAAGAUCAAAGAGAUUUCAGUUCAGGCCCUGGAUUUGUCACUGGCUACCUCUGCGAUCUUGAGCAGAUUUCUUUCCCUCCCUGAGCUUCAGGAUCUGAAUGGUGCAGCCGAUGCGUUCAGUGUCAUCACCCCCAGGUAAACUGGUGAGCCCCCUGCCCCCAUGGCUUUUACUUUGGCCGUGCGUUCUCUUGAAAAUGCCCAUUACAGCGCUCCUGAAGGCGAGAGGACAGUGUUAUGGGAAGAAGUGAAUUUCAGCGUCUCUAAGCUAAAGGAAAUGAGUGUGAAGGUGAUUUAGGACGACUUGAACCAAUUUCUGUUCUCUAUUUUUUCAUUUUAUUCACACACAAGUGAUGAAUGAUUAAAUCUGAAGUUGAAUAAACUCUUUCUCAAAACAUGAAAUUGCAAUUCUAAGUGAUCGGGAGGCUUCCAGUCGUAGUGUGUCCCGUGGCCCUUUCCAUUCUUGGUGGUAUUACAGUUCAUGGUGAGUCUGAUGAUUGGCAUUGCCUGAGACUUGAUGGCUUUGAUCUGUUUUCUGCCUCCUGAACCUGGCCCUGUGCUUGACACUUUACAUAUUCUUUCACUCCUUUGUUCCUCUCCCCAAGUCCACACAGAAGGGAUCAUCCCCGUUUUCCAGAUGCAGCAGGGCUCACAGGAGGGACGUGACCAGCACAAGGUGACAGGGCCAAAACUUGAGCCGGGUUUGAAUGCCCUGCACCUCAUCCCAUCCUGCAGCGGAGGUGAGAGGCGUGGAAAGCUGUCUGUGUGCUUUGUGCAACAGUACCUCCCAGGAGUCCCCGUGUAGGACAGGAUUCAGGGUCAAGGCCAAGACCACCAAGACUCUGGAGUCUGGAGUCAUCACUUAUCGGGUGGCAUUUCUUGGGUGCCUAGGAAACAGGUGGGCAGCAGAAGCAGCACUGAGAUGGGCGCCGAGAGAGAGGAUCCUCAUCCUUUGAUGGACUUCACCGGCUAUGUGACCGUGGGCAAAUCGCCUCUCUGAGCCCCCUGCACAUCUGUAAAGUGGGUGGGUCACAGCGGGAGCUUGGUAGGGUCCCUUCCAGUUGUAACCAGUCUGUGUUUUACACAGAGCAGCAACUGGCCUUCAAACUUGGGGUCAGUGUAGGAUGGAUGGAAAACAGAGACCCACACUUCUAACAAAGCUAGUACCCUGGAUCUCGAGAUGGUUAAGACUCUGCUCCUCUCCUGGGUGGUGGACGUGGUGGCUGGCAAUGUUGGUAUGAGAGCGAUUCUGCUGUGGGCAGCCUGGGCCCCGGAAAGCCUGGUGUAGCUGCACUUGAGCCGCAUGGUGAAGCAGCCCCCUGUGCUGGUCACGAGCAGGAUGGGAGGUAUGUGAGGGCCGAUGGGAGACUGAGGGCCUCCACCUGCCCUCACCUUCGCUGGCUGGCUGUCUUAAUCACUUCCUGAGCAUGCUGUGGGGUCCUGGGAAGAGGGACCUCACUCCCCUUGGGCCCUCUAGGUUGAGCAGAGCAGGAAGGAGGUCUUGAGUGUUGCAAGCGGCAUGAGACAGUGAUAACCAGUGACACACAUGGCCGUCAGAGGCGCCCGUUGUGCCAGGCUGUGCUGGGUGCAGAUGUUCUUUCUCUCUCUCUCUUCACCAUAGCAAUAGUGAUGAUGACCCGGGGACCUGAGGGCUUUGAGAGGAGGGCACAGUGCCGGGCUCUGACAGGCGGCAUUGUGUUUGAUGUAGAUGUGGCACCUACGGCAGGAAGACAGGCAAAGACUGGGGCUUGUCCCCUUGGAGGACAUGGGUUCAUAUUUUGGCUUUGCUUUUUUAUGGUCACUUUAGAAAGUCAAUUGAACUCAGUCAAACCUCAGUUUCUCCAUCUGUAAGGUGAUGGCCAUGAUGUCCUAGGGAGGGGAUGGUGAACUUACAGCUUGGGUGCCACAGCAGGCUGUUUGUAUCGCUGGAAGCUCUAAACGGUUCGCCAUCUCCGCCCUAAGGUGUUAAAGGAUUGAGCAAUGCACUGGAUAUGCCUGGCUCCACCUGGCGCACUCAGCAAGUCUCCCAUCAACACUGCCAGUUGUUUUAAAAAUGACUUCUGUGAUCCGUGAAGUCCGGCGUUGUAUCUCCGUCAUAGAGAGAUGAGAGAGCAGAGUCCAGCGAGGUCAAAAGACUGGUCCACAGGCACACAGUGAGUAGGUAGCCACCAGGCCUCA